UCUUAAUUGACUUGGUAACGCAGCUAACGCGUGAAGUAGACCGCCUGGGGAGUACGGUCGCAAGAUUAAAACUCAAAGGAAUUGACGGGGACCCGCACAAGCGGUGGAUGAUGUGGAUUAAUUCGAUGCAACGCGAAAAACCUUACCUACCCUUGACAUGUACAGAACGCCGAAGAGAUUUGGUGGUGCUCGCAAGAGAACUGUAACACAGGUGCUGCAUGGCUGUCGUCAGCUCGUGUCGUGAGAUGUUGGGUUAAGUCCCGCAACGAGCGCAACCCUUGUCAUUAGUUGCUACGAAAGGGCACUCUAAUGAGACUGCCGGUGACAAACCGGAGGAAGGUGGGGAUGACGUCAAGUCCUCAUGGCCCUUAUGGGUAGGGCUUCACACGUCAUACAAUGGUACAUACAGAGGGCCGCCAACCCGCGAGGGGGAGCUAAUCCCAGAAAGUGUAUCGUAGUCCGGAUUGUAGUCUGCAACUCGACUACAUGAAGUUGGAAUCGCUAGUAAUCGCGGAUCAGCAUGUCGCGGUGAAUACGUUCCCGGGUCUUGUACACACCGCCCGUCACACCAUGGGAGCGGGUUCUGCCAGAAGUAGGUAGCUUAACCGUAAGGAGGGCGCUUACCACGGCAGGGUUCGUGACUGGGGUGAAGUCGUAACAAGGUAGCCGUAUCGGAAGGUGCGGCUGGAUCACCUCCUUUCUG
Molecule: ribosomal RNA, 703 nt
Filed under: uncultured bacterium
Lineage: Bacteria
Description: bacterial SSU rRNA
Rfam family: Bacterial small subunit ribosomal RNA
Source: RNAcentral